This is a non-coding RNA of Triticum aestivum (bread wheat), 136 nucleotides long. NCBI's taxonomy places the organism in Eukaryota, Viridiplantae, Streptophyta, Magnoliopsida, Poales, Poaceae. The record is from Rfam.
UAAAUACUCCCUCCGUUCCAUAAUACAUGCCUUCCAUUUGUUAAAAUUUAGAUGUAUCUGGACAUAUUUUAGUAUAUAGGUACAUACAUUUUUGAACAAAUGGAAGUCAAGUAUUUUGGAACGGAGGGAGUAGUUU